RNAcentral lists this long non-coding RNA (3392 nucleotides) under Citrus x clementina. RNAcentral describes it as "Citrus clementina (C. clementina) long non-coding RNA (CCLE_LNC005917)". The record is from RNAcentral. Lineage: Eukaryota; Viridiplantae; Streptophyta; Magnoliopsida; Sapindales; Rutaceae.
GGGUGGGCUAUAGCCUUGGUGGGGGGCGUGAGCGAAGUUCGUCCGCGGGACUCGGAAUGGCACCAGACUUGGCGGGCGGACUCCGUGUGCCAAAAAUAGGCCACGGGCACAGCCGCGCCCAAAAACAGCCCCCGAAGUUCGGGCUCCCAAGACCCCCCAGCGGAAAAAUGGCCAAAAAACGGGUGGGCUAUAGCCUUGGUGGGGGGCGUGGGCGAAGUUCGUCCGCGGGACUCGGAAUGGCACCAUACUUGGCGGGCGGCCUCCGUGUGCCAAAAAUAGGCCACGGGCACAGCCGCGCCCAAAAAACAGCCCCCGAAGUUCGGGGUCCCAAGACCCCCCAGCGGAAAAAUGGCCAAAAAACGGGUGGGCUAUAGCCUUGGUGGGUGGCGCCCAAAAGUUCGUCCGCGGGACUCGGAAUGGCACCAGACUUGGCGGGCGGCCUCCGUGUGCCAAAAAUAGGCCACGGGCACAGCCGCGCCCAAAAAACAGCCCCCGAAGUUCGGGUUCCCAAGACCCCCCAGCGGAAAAAUGGCCAAAAAACGGGUGGGCUAUAGCCUUGGUGGGUGGCGCCCAAAAGUUCUUCCGCGGGACUCGGAAUGGCACCAGACUUGGCGGGCGGCCUCCGUGUGCCAAAAAUAGGCCACGGGCACAGCCGCGCCGAAAAAACAGCCCCCGAAGUUCGGGGUCCCAAGACCCCCCAGCGGAAAAAUGGCCAAAAAACGGUGGGCUAUAGCCUUGGUGGGGUGCGUGGGCAAAGUUCGUCUGCGGGACUCGGAAUGGCACCAGACUUGGCGGGCGGCCUCCGUUUGCCAAAAAUAGGCCACGGGCACAGCCGCGCCCAAAAACAGCCCCCGAAGUUCGGGUUCCAAGACCCCCCAGCGGAAAAAUGGCCAAGAAACGGGUGGGCUAUACCCUUGGUGGGUGGCGCCCAAAAGUUCUUCCGCGGGACUCGGAAUGGCACCAGACUUGGCGGGCGGCCUCCGUGUGCCAAAAAUAGGCCACGGGCACAGCCGCGCCGAAAAAACAGCCCCCGAAGUUCGGGGUCCCAAGACCCCCCAGUGGAAAAAUGGCCAAAAAACGGUGGGCUAUAGCCUUGGUGGGGUGCGUGGGCGAAGUUCGUCUGCGGGACUCGGAAUGGCACCAGACUUGGCGGGCGGCCUCCGUUUGCCAAAAAUAGGCCACGGGCACAGCCGCGCCCAAAAAACAGCCCCCGAAGUUCGGGGUCCCAAGACCCCCCAGCGGAAAAAUGGCCAAAAAACGGUGGGCUAUAACCUUGGUGGGGGGCGUGGGCGAAGUUCGUCCGCGGGACUCGGAAUGGCACCAGACUUGGCGGGCGGCCUCCGUGUGCCAAAAAUAGGCCACGGGCACAGCCGCGCCCAAAAAACAACCCCCGAAAUUCGGGGUCCCAAGACCCCCCAGCGGAAAAAUGGCCAAAAAACGGUGGNNNNNNNNNNNNNNNNNNNNNNNNNNNNNNNNNNNNNNNNNNNNNNNNNNNNNNNNNNNNNNNNNNNNNNNNNNNNNNNNNNNNNNNNNNNNNNNNNNNNNNNNAGCCGCGCCCAAAAAACAACCCCCGAAGUUCGGGGUCCCAAGAACCCCGAGCGGAAAAUGACCAAAAAACGGUGGGCUAUAGCCUUGAUGGGGUGCGUGGGCGAAGUUCGUCCGCGGGACUCGGAAUGGCACCAGACUUGGCGGGCAGCCUCCGUGUGCCAAAAAUAGGCCACGGGCACAGCCGCGCCCAAAAAACAGCCCCCGAAGUUCGGGGUCCCAAGACCCCCCAGCGGAAAAAUGGCCAAAAAACGGGUGGGCUAUAGCCUUGGUGGGGGGCGUGGGCGAAGUUCAUCCGCGGGACUCGGAAUGGCACCAGACUUGGCGGGCGGCCUCCGUGUGCCAAAAAUAGGCCACGGGCAUAGCCGCGCCCAAAAAACAGCCCCCGAAGUUCGGGGUCCCAAGACCCCGCAGCGGAAAAAUGGCCAAAAAACGGUGGGCUAUAGCCUUGGUGGGGGGCGUGGGCGAAGUUCGUCCGCGGGACUCGGAAUGGCACCAGACUUGGCGGGCGGCCUCCGUGUGCCAAAAAUAGGCCACGGGCAUAGCCGCGCCCAAAAAACAGCCCCCGAAGUUCGGGGUCCCAAGACCCCCCAGCGGAAAAAUGGCCAAAAAACGGUGGGCUAUAGCCUUGGUGGGGGGCGUGGGCGAAGUUCGUCCGCGGGACUCGGAAUGGCACCAGACUUGGCGGGCGGACUCCGUGUGCCAAAAAUAGGCCACGGGCACAGCCGCGCCCAAAAAACAGCCCCCGAAGUUCGGGCUCCCAAGACCCCCCAGCGGAAAAAUGGCCAAAAAACGGGUGGGCUAUAGCCUUGGUGGGGGGCGUGGGCGAAGUUCGUCCGCGGGACUCGGAAUGGCACCAUACUUGGCGGGCGGCCUCCGUGUGCCAAAAAUAGGCCACGGGCACAGCCGCGCCCAAAAAACAGCCCCCGAAGUUCGGGGUCCCAAGACCCCCCAGCGGAAAAAUGGCCAAAAAACGGGUGGGCUAUAGCCUUGGUGGGUGGCGCCCAAAAGUUCGUCCGCGGGACUCGGAAUGGCACCAGACUUGGCGGGCGGCCUCCGUGUGCCAAAAAUAGGCCACGGACACAGCCGCGCCCAAAAAACAGCCCCCGAAGUUCGGGUUCCCAAGACCCCCCAGCGGAAAAAUGGCCAAAAAACGGGUGGGCUAUAGCCUUGGUGGGUGGCGCCCAAAAGUUCUUCCGCGGGACUCGGAAUGGCACCAGACUUGGCGGGCGGCCUCCGUGUGCCAAAAAUAGGCCACGGGCACAGCCGCGCCGAAAAAACAGCCCCCGAAGUUCGGGGUCCCAAGACCCCCCAGCGGAAAAAUGGCCAAAAAACGGUGGGCUAUAGCCUUGGUGGGGUGCGUGGGCGAAGUUCGUCUGCGGGACUCGGAAUGGCACCAGACUUGGCGGGCGGCCUCCGUUUGCCAAAAAUAGGCCACGGGCACAGCCGCGCCCAAAAAACAGCCCCCGAAGUUCGGGGUCCCAAGACCCCCCAGCGGAAAAAUGGCCAAAAAACGGUGGGCUAUAGCCUUGGUGGGGGGCGUGGACGAAGUUCGUCCGCGGGACUCGGAAUGGCACCAGACUUGGCGGGCGGCCUCCGUGUGCCAAAAAUAGGCCACGGGCUCAGCCGUGCCCAAAAAACAACCCCCGAAGUUCGGGGUCCCAAGACCCCCCAGCGGAAAAAUGGCCAAAAAACGGGUGGGCUAUAGCCUUGGUGGGGGGCGUGGGCGAAGUUCGUCCGCGGGACUCGGAAUGGCACCAUACUUCGCGGGCGGCCUCCGUGUGCCAAAAAUAGGCCACGGGCACAGCCGCGCCCAAAAAACAGCCCCCGAAGUUCGGGGUCCCAAG